GAUGAACGCUGGCGGCGUGCCUAAUACAUGCAAGUCGAGCGAACAGACGAGGAGCUUGCUCCUCUGACGUUAGCGGCGGACGGGUGAGUAACACGUGGAUAACCUACCUAUAAGACUGGGAUAACUUCGGGAAACCGGAGCUAAUACCGGAUAAUAUAUUGAACCGCAUGGUUCAAUAGUGAAAGACGGUUUUGCUGUCACUUAUAGAUGGAUCCGCGCCGCAUUAGCUAGUUGGUAAGGUAACGGCUUACCAAGGCAACGAUGCGUAGCCGACCUGAGAGGGUGAUCGGCCACACUGGAACUGAGACACGGUCCAGACUCCUACGGGAGGCAGCAGUAGGGAAUCUUCCGCAAUGGGCGAAAGCCUGACGGAGCAACGCCGCGUGGGUGAUGAAGGUCUUCGGAUCGUAAAACUCUGUUAUUAGGGAAGAACAAAUGUGUAAGUAAAUAUGCACGUCUUGACGGUACCUAAUCAGAAAGCCACGGCUAACUACGUG
Molecule: ribosomal RNA, 497 nt
Filed under: uncultured bacterium
Lineage: Bacteria
Description: partial 16S ribosomal RNA
Rfam family: Bacterial small subunit ribosomal RNA
Source: RNAcentral